GUNGUCCGCACGAGCGCACCCCUAUCCUUAUUUGCCAGCACGUAAUGGUGGGAACUCUAGGGAGACUGCCGGUGAUAAACCGGAGGAAGGUGGGGACGACGUCAAGUCAUCAUGGCCCUUACGAGUAGGGCUACACACGUGCUACAAUGGCGUAUACAGAGGGUUGCAAAGCCGCGAGGUGGAGCUAAUCUCACAAAGUACGUCGUAGUCCGGAUCGGAGUCUGCAACUCGACUCCGUGAAGUCGGAAUCGCUAGUAAUCGUGGAUCAGAAUGCCACGGUGAAUACGUUCCCGGGCCUUGUACACACCGCCCGUCACACCAUGGGAGUGGGCUGCAAAAGAAGUGGGUAGUUUAACCUUCGGGAGAACGCUCACCACUUUGUGGCUCAUGACUGGGGUGAAGUCGUAACAAGGUAGCCCUAGGGGAACCUGGGGCUGGAUCACCUCCUU
RNAcentral lists this ribosomal RNA (449 nucleotides) under uncultured Shewanellaceae bacterium. Its description in RNAcentral is "bacterial SSU rRNA". It matches the Rfam family "Bacterial small subunit ribosomal RNA", at positions 1081 to 1532 of the family's 1533-position model. Lineage: Bacteria; Pseudomonadati; Pseudomonadota; Gammaproteobacteria; Alteromonadales; Shewanellaceae. The record is from RNAcentral.